CUCUUCUGGAGAUCCUCCUCUUUUGGUAUCUUCUGGUGAGCUCAACCCAAGGCAAACAACCCCUAAUGACUGUGAGGAUCUUCAUCAGGGUCGGAGAGCUUAAUGCACAAACCUGUGCUCUGUAGCAGAAACAGACAGGAAAAAGCACCUGAGGCUGUCUGAGAACAUGACAUCCCUUUCUUAAACAAGUCCAGGUGCUACAUCACAGAAGGAAGACAAAUG
Long non-coding RNA from Lagopus muta (rock ptarmigan), 222 nucleotides. RefSeq lists it as uncharacterized. The transcript has 3 exons. NCBI's taxonomy places the organism in Eukaryota, Metazoa, Chordata, Aves, Galliformes, Phasianidae. The record is from RefSeq and is a predicted model, not a curated record.